GAACCUCAUCUCUUUUCAUCUCCUCUCCACAGAACUGGAGCUCUGAAGAACUCAUCUCUGUCAUCUCUUUCAAUCUAAAACCACUGAAAUCUACCAGUUUUUAAUUUCUUAAACUCGCAAAUACAAGGAUGAACCCGUUGAGGAGAAUGUGAUGAGUUGAGCCGGUGUUGUGUAAGAAGAGUUAGAGUAAUCAUUGAAGAGAAGGUGAUGGUGAUGGUGAUAAGUUGCAGUUGAUGAAGAUUGAAGCUCGGGUUAGAUUUAAGCAGAAGGGUUUCUGUUUAAUGAAUCUGUAAAGGCGAUCGAGAGGAAUUAGGGUGGUACUAAUAAUGGAAGAACUGCUAUUAGGGUUUGAGUUGAUCUUAAGAAUUGAUGGUGGUGAUUCUGUUAUUUUGAAGAAUAAAUUUAGAGAAAUUCAAAAUUAGGGUUUCUUGUUCUUCCUCAAUACUUCAAUUGAAGUUGUUAUUAAUGCUUGAUGCACUGUAGGUGAAAUCUGGUGGAGAAAUUGCAGUAGCAGAAGACCUAGAAGGAGUUCUGAGAUAUUGAAGUUAAGGUUUGAUGCAGGGAAUGUAUGGAUUGUAGUACAAACUUGUGAUAGAGGAUAGGUUUCUGUUGGUGGUGUUUGAGGUGCUGAGAAGAUGUUGGAUGAGAUGAUGUUGUGUGUAGGAGUUGAUUGUGCUAGAUGGGAACUGCUGGUGGUAUGUGAAGUUAAGAUGACGGCAGGUUAUGGCAUUGCAGGUAAUGAUGAUGGAGUUUUUGGUGUUGAUUAACCAUUGAGCAUGGGCUAGAUAAGGAGAGAAAUCUCAACAAUGAAGCUGAUAAAGCACCCAUACAUCGUUCAAGUGAUGGGAAUCAUAGUGCUUGCUUGUGUCUCUAGGCUAUCUCUAUUUUAUUUUUUAUCAUCUUUGUAAAUGAUAUAUUCUCUUGGUUUAGGUGAUGGGAAGCAAGGCAAAGAGUUUUAUCGUUUUGGAGUUUGUCACUGGAGGGGAGCUCUUUGAAAAAGUUGUGACAAAGAAAGAACAUGGGUUGUCUCAAAUUCAAGCUACUGCCAAUAAAAAAGGUUCACAUGACUUGGUACUGGCUUACUGCCAAUGGUUUUCAAGGAUUAAUGGAAAUAUGUGUUGUUUCUGUUAUCUCUUUUGUAUUGUCUUGUAUUUUUGAUUGUUCGUAACUAACAAAUCAGUACCUUGUUUUGGAUGAGGAUGACAAAAUGUUGGACAUGGGGUUCGAGCCACAUAUAAGAGAGAUGAUGUAUUACCUUUUUGUUGAAAGGAAGGUGUGAUGAAGUUGCAGAAGCCCUGAUAGCGCAAGGUCUGCACGUUGUUUCUCUUCAUGCUGGUCGUAGCCAAAGUGAAAGAAGAGAAGCAGGUCUUCGCAAUUUUCGAAAUAGCUUAGCUAAUAUUCUGGUCGCCAUAGAUGUUGCAUCUCGUGGUUUAGAUGUCACUAGAGUUGCUCAUGUGAUCAACCUUGAUCUUACCAAGAUAUAUUUUUCUUCUUCACUAAGUUAAUUGAAUGAUGCUCUGUUGUGAGAUCAGAAAGAUUGGAGAACAAAGCAGCAAAGCAGCAGCCAUUAGGUCCCUUAGCAGCUACAAGAUUUGUAAGUUAUAAUUAGUGUCUCCUUAUAGAGAUUUAAGUUGGAAGAACAUAGGAAUUUCAGAACUUUAUACAAACUAAACUUAGGAACUAAGUAUGUUUCUGUGUAUGUCCAUUAAAUGAAUGACAUAGUUUGUAUCAAAUACUCACUCAUACUUGUUGUUAAAAUCAAUUGAAGAGUCCAUUUUCAU
Long non-coding RNA from Papaver somniferum (opium poppy), 1781 nucleotides. RefSeq lists it as uncharacterized. Lineage: Eukaryota; Viridiplantae; Streptophyta; Magnoliopsida; Ranunculales; Papaveraceae. The transcript is spliced from 7 exons. The record is from RefSeq and is a predicted model, not a curated record.